RNAcentral lists this ribosomal RNA (483 nucleotides) under uncultured bacterium. Its description in RNAcentral is "partial 16S ribosomal RNA". It matches the Rfam family "Bacterial small subunit ribosomal RNA", at positions 29 to 523 of the family's 1533-position model. The record is from RNAcentral.
AAUGAACGUUGGCGGCGUGGAUUAGGCAUGCAAGUCGUACGGACCGUGGUAGCAAUAUUACGGUAGUGGCGCAAGGGAGAGUAAUACGUAGGUAUUUACCCUGGGGUCUGGGAUAGCGGCGGGAAACUGCCGGUAAUACCAGAUGAUAUCUCCGGAUCAAAGGUGUGAUUCCGCCCUAGGAGAAGCCUGCGGUCUAUCAGCUAGUUGGUAGGGUAACGGCCUACCACUGCAAAGACGGAUAUGGGGCGUGAGAGCGUGCCCCCACUCACUGGGAGUGAGACACUGCCCAGACACCUACGGGUGGCUGCAGUCGAGAAUCUUCGGCAAUGGGCGCAAGCCUGACCGAGCGAGGCCGCGUGCGGUAUGAAGGCCUUCGGGUUGUAAACCGCUGUCGAAGGGGAGGAAAUUGUAGUGGGUUCACCCAUUAUAUUGACCGAUCCUUGGAGGAAGGGCCGGCUAAUCUCGUGCCAGCCGCCGCCGUAA